GAGAAGGGAAUAGAGGUAGAUCCCGAUAAAGUUCGAGCUAUUCAAGAGAUGCCAUCCCCAAGAACAGAAAGGGAGGUGCGCAGUUUCUUGGGGAAGUUGAACUACAUAUCAAGGUUUAUUUCCAAUCUCACCGCUAAAGCCGAGCCUAUCUUUAGACUUCUUCGGAAAAAUAACACCACCCAAUGGGAUUCAGUUUGUCAAGAG
This 204-nucleotide unclassified non-coding RNA is filed under the name Hevea brasiliensis (rubber tree). Lineage: Eukaryota; Viridiplantae; Streptophyta; Magnoliopsida; Malpighiales; Euphorbiaceae. The record is from RNAcentral.